This 867-nucleotide long non-coding RNA is filed under the name Glycine max (soybean). RNAcentral's name for it is "long non-coding RNA (GMAX_LNC004647)". Lineage: Eukaryota; Viridiplantae; Streptophyta; Magnoliopsida; Fabales; Fabaceae. The record is from RNAcentral.
AAAAUUUGAAUCUUUAUUUUCUAUCUCUGUGUGCCAUAGGCAAUUUUAUGCAGUUUUCCCAUAUGUUUUUUUUGCUUUAUGCCAAAGUUUUUUGGUUGAGGAAAGAGAUUUUUUAACUUCCUAACAUGUUUUCAGUGUUUAAAUAGCUUUUACAUGGAAGAAGCACACUUGUAAAACAAUUGUCUGCUUGUUGAAUUUCAGAAUCCACGUUGACCCAUAUUGAAAGCAUGGAUGGUGAAAGAGAAACCCUAGAGGAGCCUAUAGAAAAGGAGGGAUCUUUGGUUGGGGAUGGGAAGGACCUAAAGGUGGGGGUUUUGGGUUCUGAUUUGUGCAUAGAAGGUGUUGUUUGCACUCGUGAGCGUGAUGCUGAGCUGAAUGGUGAUGUGGGUUUUGAUGGAUCAAAAGAGGAGGGUAAAGGUGUGGAUCCUUCAGGUGGAGAAGCUGCUGAGGCUCUUGGUGAGGAUUCUCAAGUUUUGAGAUCCUUAGAAAGUAAGAGCGUGAAUGAGAUUGCUGAGUUAGAUGGAAAUGAAGCUACCUUGAAAACAUUGGAUGAGCAGAAGAACAUUGAUGACAAGGAGGUCAAUAAGUUAGUGGAGAAAGAAGCAAUUAGUGAUGUUAUUCAGGCUGAGCCAGAUGUUACGCAAAGCAUUAAAGAACAUGCUGGGGAUCUUGGUGAAGGUUCUCAAGUUGUGAGGUCCUUAGAAGGUAAGAGUGAGAAUGAGACUGCUGAGUUGGAUGGAAAUGAUGUCACCUUGAAAACAUUGGAUGAGCAGAAGAACAUUGAUAUUCAGGUUGAGUCGGAUAUUAGUCAAAGCAUUGAAGGGCAAGCUGGCAUUGCUGAGCAGGUUGGUUCACAAGGAGAGCAGG